CACAAAAAACCAUAAGCAAAUUAUUUACCCAUUAUAUUUCAUGCUGACGAUUAUAUAUUUUAUUCCCAGUGGAAAAAUUGCUUGAAUUAAUGUUAAGAGUUGUCCAUUUCUAAGUGAUUUAUCGUGUAUUUGAGCGUGGCCGGGAUAAUUUCUGGAAGCAUGUGAGAUGCUGAAUCAAUAUCACUUAGAGCUAUUUACUCUUAAUAAAACAUAUUUUUCAUUGAAAUGCCACUGUAUAGCAAGUAUAGAUAGUUGUUUUAAGUUAAUUAUGUUGUAUAGUGUUGUGAAAUUUUAUUAGAAAAGUGAUUUGUUGAUCAAAAUUCUGCUGGACAAGGGGGCCAGUAAUGGGUUAGAUUUCGCCAGACCUUCUGCAAAAUUGGUUGCAAAUUAAGCAUGGGAAAAAUAAUGAAAUAUGGAUCAGCUUUUGGAACCAGGAAGAGACCUACAAGUGGUACCCCAGCCAUGGAUCAUGAAAUUUCCAAUACUUACCAGAUGAGUUCUAAUGCUAGGUGUAUGGUGUGUCAAAAACCAGCUAAAUAUUGUUGUAAAGGAUGCCAUAAAGGAUCAUACUAUGGAGAGAGUGUGCUUCCAGCCAAGAAACUGAAAUUAGUCUUAAAUUUUGAAAAGUGCAUCGCCUGUCGAGUAGACAAUUCUUAUUGCUUAUGAACAAGACUUAAUGGUUCAACAUAAUACACCAGUGCUCAGAAGAAAUGUGCUGCUUUGUCAAGAAUUCUAAAACCCAAGUUUCUUGUGAAAGAAAUGAAAUGACAUGGUUUUUGCUUAAAGAAAAUUAGUAGUCAUAAUAUUCUUUGGAAAUUGAAUACUUUGGUUCCUGAAAUCAGUUCAUCAUGGUUAUUGAAGCAAAGCAUCUCAACUUCAACUGCAAGCACAGCUGCAUUAUGUUUUUCAAGGGCAACAAAUCUAAACACAAAUGGAAUCAAGGAAAGCUUAACAGUAUUGAAUGUACAGAUCAACAACAGAAGUUCUACAUGAAAUCAAAGAAAAAAAUGACAGGUCCUAAAGAAAGUGCUGCUGUGCAUUGACAUAAUUAGCUAACAACGUGAGGUACCACAAGAUAAUUAUGGAUGCCAGAUUGUCUACAGAAAAUUAAACUUUGAACCAAAUCAUAGUGCAGCAUUUUGUAACUUUGUCUUUUAUUAAAUGGGAGUUAAGAAGAGGAAAAGUUAACUAUACUUCAGUAUUGAUGGACAUCUUCAAAGAUGAGAUUACUAAAGCAGAAGGUUCUGUUUCUAACAUUUGUUUUAAAAACUUAAAAAGAUAACUGGUUGGUAAUUUUGGGAUGGAUAUCAAAUUCGUGAAAAAGGAAAGAAAAUAAUUUGUUUAUCUCAAGAGUGCCUGGAUAGUGUACAGCUAAGCACAUUGUGAUUUACUGCAGCUCGCGAGUAUACCUUGUGAAGAAUUAUUAUUAGUAUCCAUUAUCUUACCUAAUCUAAUCUUAUCUAACCUAAUAAGUUUCUGAUUAUUAC
Long non-coding RNA from Limulus polyphemus (Atlantic horseshoe crab), 1487 nucleotides. RefSeq lists it as uncharacterized. The record is from RefSeq and is a predicted model, not a curated record. NCBI's taxonomy places the organism in Eukaryota, Metazoa, Arthropoda, Merostomata, Xiphosura, Limulidae. The transcript is spliced from 4 exons.